GAAACGACUGCUAAGACUGGAUAGGAGACAAGAAGGCAUCUUCUUGUUUUUAAAAGACCUAGCAAUAGGUAUGCUUAGGGAGGAGCUUGCGUCACAUUAGUUAGUUGGUGGGGUAAAGGCCUACCAAGACUAUGAUGUGUAGCCGGGCUGAGAGGUUGAACGGCCACAUUGGGACUGAGACACGGCCCAAACUCCUACGGGAGGCAGCAGUAGGGAAUUUUCGGCAAUGGAGGAAACUCUGACCGAGCAACGCCGCGUGAACGAUGAAGUAUUUCGGUACGUAAAGUUCUUUUAUUAGGGAAGAAUAAAUGAUGGAAAAAUCAUUCUGACGGUACCUAAUGAAUAAGCCCCGGCUAACUAUGUGCCAGCAGCCGCGGUAAUACAUAGGGGGCAAGCGUUAUCCGGAAUUAUUGGGCGUAAAGGGUGCGUAGGCGGUUAAAUAAGUUUAUGGUCUAAGUGCAAUGCUCAACAUUGUGAUGCUAUAAAAACUGUUUAGCUAGAGUAAGAUAGAGGCAAGUGGAAUUCCAUGUGUAGUGGUAAAAUGCGUAAAUAUAUGGAGGAACACCAGUAGCGAAGGCGGCUUGCUGGGUCUUUACUGACGCUGAGGCACGAAAGCGUGGGGAGCAAACAGGAUUAGAUACCCUGGUAGUCCACGCCGUAAACGAUGAGUACUAAACGUUGGGUAAAACCAGUGUUGAAGUUAACACAUUAAGUACUCCGCCUGAGUAGUACGUACGCAAGUAUGAAACUUAAAGGAAUUGACGGGACUCCGCACAAGCGGUGGAUCAUGUUGUUUAAUUCGAAGGUACCCGAAAAACCUCACCAGGUCUUGACAUGCUUCUGCAAAGCUGUAGAAACACAGUGGAGGUUAUCAGUUGCACAGGUGGUGCAUGGUUGUCGUCAGCUCGUGUCGUGAGAUGUUGGGUUAAGUCCCGCAACGAGCGCAACCCUUAUUGUUAGUUACCAGCACGUAAUGGUGGGGACUUUAGCAAGACUGCCAGUGAUAAAUUGGAGGAAGGUGGGGAUGACGUCAAAUCAUCAUGCCCCUUAUGACCUGGGCUACAAACGUGAUACAAUGGCUGUUACAAAGGGUAGCUGAAGCGCAAGUUUUUGGCGAAUCUCAAAAAAACAGUCUCAGUUCGGAUUGAAGUCUGCAACUCGACUUCAUGAAGUUGGAAUCGCUAGUAAUCGCGAAUCAGCAUGUCGCGGUGAAUACGUUCUCGGGGUUUGUACACACCGCCCGUCA
This 1246-nucleotide ribosomal RNA is filed under the name Sandal spike phytoplasma. RNAcentral describes it as "bacterial SSU rRNA". It matches the Rfam family "Bacterial small subunit ribosomal RNA", at positions 153 to 1399 of the family's 1533-position model. The record is from RNAcentral. RNAcentral also lists the same sequence under 2 other names. Lineage: Bacteria; Bacillati; Mycoplasmatota; Mollicutes; Acholeplasmatales; Acholeplasmataceae.